GGGAUAAGCGGAAGAAAUUCCGUCUAAUACCGCGUAAUAACUCCGAGAGGCAUCUCCUGGGGUUUAAAGGGUAACACCGGCUACGGAUGGCCAUGCGGCGCAUUAGCUAGUUGGCGGGGUAACGGCCCACCAAGGCGACGAUGCGUAAGGGUUCUGAGAGGAAGGUCCCCCACACUGGUACUGAGACACGGACCAGACUCCUACGGGAGGCAGCAGUGAGGAAUAUUGGUCAAUGGGCGCGAGCCUGAACCAGCCAAGUCGCGUGAGGGAAGACGGUCCUAUGGAUUGUAAACCUCUUUUGUCGGGGAGCAAAAGACGCCACGCGUGGCGUUCCGAGAGUACCCGAAGAAAAAGCAUCGGCUAACUCCGUGCCAGCAGCCGCGGUAAUACGGAGGAUGCGAGCGUUAUCCGGAUUUAUUGGGUUUAAAGGGUGCGCAGGCGGAAGAUCAAGUCAGCGGUAAAAUUGAGAGGCUCAACCUCUUCGAGCCGUUGAAACUGGUUUUCUUGAGUGAGCGAGAAGUAUGCGGAAUGCGUGGUGUAGCGGUGAAAUGCAUAGAUAUCACGCAGAACUCCGAUUGCGAAGGCAGCAUACCGGCGCUCAACUGACGCUCAUGCACGAAAGUGUGGGUAUCGAACAGGAUUAGAUACCCUGGUAGUCCACACAGUAAACGAUGAAUAAUAGUUGUUCGGG
RNAcentral lists this ribosomal RNA (691 nucleotides) under uncultured bacterium. RNAcentral's name for it is "bacterial SSU rRNA". It matches the Rfam family "Bacterial small subunit ribosomal RNA", at positions 140 to 828 of the family's 1533-position model. The record is from RNAcentral.